GAAUGUGAGGGUGACCUGGCUGUGACCCUGCCACCCCAUUGAUUGCCAGGGCCAUUAGACUGAUGUGGUGGCCCGGUGUCUUCUUUCUCUCUCACCUCUGCAUACGUCAUCUCGUCUCGGCUUCAGACAACAGGAAUGACCUUCCUGAUAACAGAGUGUUCAUUCUCGAUGA
This 172-nucleotide small nuclear RNA is filed under the name Otolemur garnettii (small-eared galago). Its description in RNAcentral is "7SK RNA". It matches the Rfam family "7SK RNA", at positions 1 to 186 of the family's 331-position model. Rfam says of the family: 7SK was discovered as an abundant small nuclear RNA in the mid-70s but a possible function has only recently been suggested. Two independent studies have found that 7SK RNA binds the CDK9/cyclin T complex (known as elongation factor P-TEFb). Lineage: Eukaryota; Metazoa; Chordata; Mammalia; Primates; Galagidae. The record is from Rfam by way of RNAcentral.